RNAcentral lists this long non-coding RNA (516 nucleotides) under Bos taurus (domestic cattle). RNAcentral's name for it is "long non-coding RNA NONBTAT024312". The record is from RNAcentral. Lineage: Eukaryota; Metazoa; Chordata; Mammalia; Artiodactyla; Bovidae.
GACAAUGGAUGAAUUUUCUUUUUAAUUAACUCAUAACAUUGUUUUGAUAGUUCUAACAAAUAUCUAAUCAUUGUUCCAUGUUAUGUUAUUUGCUUUAAUUUCUUUCUUCUCUAUUUUUACCUUCCUUUAAUUUGUUUUCUGAUUCCAAAACUCUCUCAGUUCCAUGAGAAUUAAAAUCAUUAUCUUUCAUAUUCACUAAACUUUUUUCUUGCUUUAUUUAUUCCUUUGUUUUAAAAAUUUUACCCAAGAGCUAUAAGUAACAUGCUUUGUUAAAAAGGAUUCAAAUAGUAUGGAAGCAUGCUGACAAAAUAAGUGAAGCUUAUUUUAUUGUCAGUCUUGUCACUGAGUACCAUUGUAAGUUUUCUUUUACCGUAUCUUUAAAAAAAUUACAUAAUUCAGCCAUGCAUCAGCUCAAAAUUCUCUAAACUGAUUUCAAAGUAUGAAUUAUUUAAUAUUUCUUAGACCAUGAAGAGUUUUAUAAAUUUAACAUACUAUGUAAUAAAUUGCAUUUUUAAU